GAAUGCUGACAUAAGUAACGAUAAUGCGGGUGAAAAACCCGCACGCCGGAAGACCAAGGGUUCCUGUCCAACGUUAAUCGGGGCAGGGUGAGUCGACCCCUAAGGCGAGGCCGAAAGGCGUAGUCGAUGGGAAACAGGUUAAUAUUCCUGUACUUGGUGUUACUGCGAAGGGGGGACGGAGAAGGCUAUGUUAGCCGGGCGACGGUUGUCCCGGUUUAAGCAUGUAGGCGGAGGUUCCAGGUAAAUCCGGUACCUUUUUAACGCUGAGGUGUGAUGACGAGGCACUACGGUGCUGAAGUAACAAAUGCCCUGCUUCCAGGAAAAGCCUCUAAGCAUCAGGUAACACGAAAUCGUACCCCAAACCGACACAGGUGGUCAGGUAGAGAAUACCAAGGCGCUUGAGAGAACUCGGGUGAAGGAACUAGGCAAAAUGGUGCCGUAACUUCGGGAGAAGGCACGCUGAUAUGUAGGUGAAGUGAUUUACUCAUGGAGCUGAAAUCAGUCGAAGAUACCAGCUGGCUGCAACUGUUUAUUAAAAACACAGCACUGUGCAAACACGAAAGUGGACGUAUACGGUGUGACGCCUGCCCGGUGCCGGAAGGUUAAUUGAUGGGGUUAUCCGUAAGGAGAAGCUCUUGAUCGAAGCCCCGGUAAACGGCGGCCGUAACUAUAACGGUCCUAAGGUAGCGAAAUUCCUUGUCGGGUAAGUUCCGACCUGCACGAAUGGCGUAAUGAUGGCCAGGCUGUCUCCACCCGAGACUCAGUGAAAUUGAACUCGCUGUGAAGAUGCAGUGUACCCGCGGCAAGACGGAAAGACCCCGUGAACCUUUACUAUAGCUUGACACUGAACACUGGUCCUUGAUGUGUAGGAUAGGUGGGAGGCUUUGAAGUGUGGACGCCAGUCUGCAUGGAGCCAUCCUUGAAAUACCACCCUUUAAUGGCUGGUGUUCUAACGUGGACCCGUAAUCCGGGUUGCGGACAGUGUCUGGUGGGUAGUUUGACUGGGGCGGUCUCCUCCUAAAGAGUAACGGAGGAGCACGAAGGUUAGCUAAUCCUGGUCGGACAUCAGGAGGUUAGUGCAAAGGCAUAAGCUAGCUUGACUGCGAGAGUGACGGCUCGAGCAGGUGCGAAAGCAGGUCUUAGUGAUCCGGUGGUUCUGAAUGGAAGGGCCAUCGCUCAACGGAUAAAAGGUACUCCGGGGAUAACAGGCUGAUACCGCCCAAGAGUUCAUAUCGACGGCGGUGUUUGGCACCUCGAUGUCGGCUCAUCACAUCCUGGGGCUGAAGUAGGUCCCAAGGGUAUGGCUGUUCGCCAUUUAAAGUGGUACGCGAGCUGGGUUUAGAACGUCGUGAGACAGUUCGGUCCCUAUCUGCCGUGGGCGCUGGAGAAUUGAGGGGGGCUGCUCCUAGUACGAGAGGACCGGAGUGGACGCAUCACUGGUGUUCGGGUUGUCAUGCCAAUGGCAUUGCCCGGUAGCUAAAUGCGGAAGAGAUAAGUGCUGAAAGCA
Molecule: ribosomal RNA, 1507 nt
Filed under: Citrobacter freundii
Lineage: Bacteria; Pseudomonadati; Pseudomonadota; Gammaproteobacteria; Enterobacterales; Enterobacteriaceae
Description: partial 23S ribosomal RNA
Rfam family: Bacterial large subunit ribosomal RNA
Source: RNAcentral